RNA transcript from Populus trichocarpa (black cottonwood), 2640 nucleotides. RefSeq lists it as uncharacterized. The record is from RefSeq and is a predicted model, not a curated record. The transcript is spliced from 8 exons. NCBI's taxonomy places the organism in Eukaryota, Viridiplantae, Streptophyta, Magnoliopsida, Malpighiales, Salicaceae.
UAGUUAUGUUUCUCCUCGUAGUUAAAAACCAAGCUGACAUAAGUAAUUUUCUAUUUUAAUUCUCUCUCCUGAAAAAAGAAAAAAAAACACUCACUCACUCUUGCAGUUGCCGGGAGUUUCUCCGGCGAUCUUUCAGGCUAAAGAUUAUCUGAGCUUGAUCGUGAUCAAUGGCGUGAAUGAGCGAAACGGCGUAGUAAAGAGUGGCGUGUGUUAGUGAAAGUAGAACUUCGAGUUUCGAGUGGAGAUCACCUGAGAACGAGUUUUGUGAGUUGGUUUUAGUCUUGAUUCGGCGAGUCUCUGUGAACUUGGCUAACGGCAAAAAAUGUCUUUCCAGCAGAAAAGCUUUUGGAUGACCAGAGAUGUGGGGUGUUUAACUGAUGGAGAUAUAGGUUUCGAUAAUUCCUCAAGAAUGGAACCAAAGCGUGGUCAUCAGUGGCUUAUGGAUAGCACUGGACCUGAAUUGUUCAGUAACAAGAAACAAGCAGUUGAACCAUCUAGCAACAACAGGCCAGUAAUGGGAAUGUCGCACAUGAACAUUUCUCCAUGGAAUAACACUUCCUGCUUCCAGUCGGUUUCAGGGCAAUUUAAUGACCGUCUGUUUGGGUUUGAACCAUUGCGGAUUAACAGUGGUAGCAACGUGCCUUCUGCCAGCAAUGGAAAUAUGAACAUGGAAAGAAAGGAUUUCAAUGACCUAUAUGGCAGCAAUUGCUCGAUGGGUUUGUCUAUGUCUCAUAACGUUGAAGAUCCCCCUUCAUCUUUUAGUUUUGGUGGCCUCAGAAAAGUGAGAGUCAAUCAAGUUAGAGACUCAAGCAAUGACAUUUCUUCAUCUGUGGGGCACUCCUAUAGUAGAGGAGAUGACAAUAUAAUUUCAAUGGGUACUGCCUAUAAUAAGAGGGAGAGCAAUGCCAUCUCUUUGGGCUCUACUUAUAACAAUGGGGAUGAGAAUACCAUCUCAAUCAGCCCCACAUUCAGCAAGGCAGAUGGCAGUUUCAUUUCAAUGGGUCAUGCAUUUAACAAGGAUGAUGACAAUUUCAUAUCAAUGGGCCAGGGUUAUAACAAGGGAGAUGAGAGUAUCUUAUCAAUGGGUCAGCCGUUUGACAAGAAGGAUGCCAAUUUCAUAACAAUGGGUCCAUCUUAUGACAAGGAAGAUAACCAUUUCAUAUCAAUGGCUCUCUCCUACAAUAAGGGACAUGAGAGUUUCAUUUCAAUGGGACCCUCCUAUGAUAAAACGAGUGAAAAUUUCAUUUUGAUGGGCUCCUCAUUUAGCAAGGGAGGAGAUAAUGUCAUAUCAAACAGUCCAAUAUAUGACAAGGCAGAUAUUGAUAUCGCAUCCAUGACUCCUGCCCAGGACAAGGGGAAUUCUGGUAUUCUAUCCAUUGGUCACAACUACAACAAGGGUGACAACAAUUCCAUUUCUUUUCAAAGCUUUCAUGAUGAACCUGAGACAAAUAUGUCUGGCAAUGUUAUUAGAGGCUAUGACCUGCUAGUGAGCAAUCAGAACACUGCUCAAACUUCAGAAGUACCGGUUCAGAACAAUUUGCCUCAGACAAAUGUUGAUCCACAAUUGAAUACCAAUACUGCAUCAAAGGUCAUUGCAAAUACACAAUUAAAUAGUGGUCUGGAAGCUAAUUCCAAAACUGAUACUGACACCAAGGGUAAAGAGCCAAAGACAUCAAUCAAUGCAGCCCCCAAGAAUAAAGAGCCAAAGACAACAAUUGAUUCUGCAUCCAAGAAUAAAGAGCUGAAGACAUCUAAGAAGAUCCCUCCUAACAACUUCCCCUCAAAUGUCAAGAGCUUGCUAUCAACUGGCUUGCUUGACGGGGUUGCUGUGAAAUAUGUUUCCUGGUCGAGGGAGAAAACUCUUAGAGGAACUAUAAAAGGGACUGGGUAUUUAUGUAGUUGCAAAGUAUGCGGCAAUAAGGUUUUGAAUGCAUAUGAAUUUGAGCGACAUGCUAACUGCAAGACCAAGCAUCCCAAUAACCAUAUUUACUUUGAGAACGGGAAGACCAUCUAUGCAGUUGUUCAAGAACUGAAGAACACUCCUCAGGAGAUGCUGUUCAAUGCGAUCGAAACUGUUACUGGAUCUGCUAUUAAUCAGAAGAAUUUCCUUAGCUGGAAAGCAUCAUAUGAAGCUGCCACCCGUGAACUUCAGCGCAUCUAUGGAAAGGAGGAAGUCACUCUACCAUCUUGAGAUGAAGACCCUGCUUUUAGAAUAAGUGAGGUGAUUGACAGCGACAAAAAUUGCCCUUCUGUGAGCAAAUGUGAGUAGCGUUGCUCCUCCAAUGUUUACCAGUGUCCCAACCACCUUUGACUGAGCGUGCAGCCUCCUAAUAUCCACCUCCUCAAGCCUGUUACCUGAAGAUGCAAGCCAUUCCAAAUGUCAUGGCAGGAAGAAUAUUGCACACGGCAAACACGAAAGGUGGCGGAGGUGAUUUUCAGCUGAUUGUGGAACAAUCAAGAACUGGCCUUGUAAAGGUAACAGAUACCAGAAUUAUGUCAGCAACUGCAUAAGUUCUAUAAAGAAUGUUUAGAGAUGAUAAAUAAAUACAUCCUGUAGUUUACUAAUUUGAUUGUCAUUACUCAAAGUAGCUUAGUAAGUUUAUCUUGGAGAAUGUCCACAGAGUCAUCUUUGGCCUUGAA